Daphnia carinata is the source of this 336-nucleotide long non-coding RNA. RefSeq lists it as uncharacterized. Lineage: Eukaryota; Metazoa; Arthropoda; Branchiopoda; Diplostraca; Daphniidae. The transcript has 3 exons. The record is from RefSeq and is a predicted model, not a curated record.
AGAGAAAAGAAUGGUACAAUCGCCCACCCCCCUGAAAAGGGAAAGAAGUAAAAAAAAAAAAAAAAGAAUUCAUCAAAAGAAAACGUUUGCGGCUUCAUGUCUGAUUUUUGCCGACACGCAGUAAAGUUCGCAAAUGCUAUUCGCCUUUGUUAAAGCCUCCAUCAACCACACCCACCAAUAAAAAAAGAAAUGGCUGCGCGGUAUAAGCCACACUAAUAAAGGCAUCGAUUGCUUUGGGAAAACCUCGUGAUCGGAAUAAUUCGGCCACGCUUUGCAAGCGGAUUGUUACGCCAGCGCGCCGGAACAUCCCGGCCUACAUAAGCAAGCAGUGUGUGG